CUGGAAAGCAUUGAUGUAAAUCCAGUGAACUGCUCUGGGCUUAUCUGACUCCAGUCAGAGUAAAUUCAGUGUCAGGAUACCCAGUGAAUCUGUAGAUACAAUUGACUCCCUGGCUUCUAUCCCUGAAGAUAUUUUUCAGAUGAUGAGGUCGAGCUUAUUCCCAUGCAAGUCCAGUUGCAUAAGAGUCCUAUCUCUUUUUCAUCCUAGAUUUUUUUAUGCGGCUAAGAGCCAGGAGCUGGAAUCAAUAAUCCCCGGAGGUCCCUCCAACUCAGGAUAUUCUAUGGUAUCUAUUUUCUUCUAACAAUCAAUGAGAAUUUUGCAUGAAGUGCAGCAAAAACUCUGAUCUUCUUGAAUGGAAAUCAUUGGUCCCUACAGAGGAGAAGAAGAGGAAGGAGGAUCUUUUAAAGUGACAGCUGAUUUCUGCAAUCUAUUAAUGAUUCCCUUGGAGAGUUUUUGAAAGUGUCCUGGAGACAAAUGAAUAAAAAUUACAGCAUCAAUAAUUUUCUUUGGGAA
Molecule: long non-coding RNA, 513 nt
Filed under: Chloebia gouldiae (Gouldian finch)
Lineage: Eukaryota; Metazoa; Chordata; Aves; Passeriformes; Passeridae
Description: Erythrura gouldiae (Gouldian finch) lncRNA (ENSEGOG00005002043.1)
Source: RNAcentral